CAGCGCGGGGAGUAAUCUCUGGCGGCGACCGGCGCACGGGCGCGUAACACGUAUGCAAUCUGCCUGUAAGAGUGGGAUAACCCGGAGAAAUUCGGACUAAUACCGCAUAAUACUUUAGUAUCGCAUGAUACAAAAGUUAAACAUUUAUGGCUUACGGAUGAGCAUGCGCAUGAUUAGUUAGUUGGUGAGGUAACGGCUCACCAAGGCAUCGAUCAUUAGGGGUUCUGAGAGGAAGGUCCCCCACACUGGAACUGAGACACGGUCCAGACUCCUACGGGAGGCAGCAGUGAGGAAUAUUGGUCAAUGGACGGAAGUCUGAACCAGCCAAGUCGCGUGAAGGAUGACUGCCCUAUGGGUUGUAAACUUCUUUUUUACAGGAAUAAAGUGCGUCACGUGUGGCGUUUUGUAUGUACUGUACGAAUAAGGAUCGGCUAACUCCGUGCCAGCAGCCGCGGUAAUACGGAGGAUCCGAGCGUUAUCCGGAUUUAUUGGGUUUAAAGGGUGCGUAGGCGGGGUAAUAAGUCAGUGGUGAAAGUUUGCAGCUCAACUGUAAAAUUGCCAUUGAAACUGUUAUUC
Molecule: ribosomal RNA, 576 nt
Filed under: uncultured Bacteroidota bacterium
Lineage: Bacteria; Pseudomonadati; Bacteroidota
Description: bacterial SSU rRNA
Rfam family: Bacterial small subunit ribosomal RNA
Source: RNAcentral